GAUGAACGCUAGCUACAGGCUUAAACACAUGCAAGUCGAGGGGAAACGACAUCGAAAGCUUGCUUUUGAUGGGCGUCGACCGGCGCACGGGUGAGUAACGCGUAUCCAACCUGCCCACCACUUGGGGAUAACCUUGCGAAAGUAAGACUAAUACCCAAUGAUAUCCCACGAAGGCAUCCGAAUGGGAUUAAAGAUUUAUCGGUGAUGGAUGGGGAUGCGUCUGAUUAGCUUGUUGGCGGGGUAACGGCCCACCAAGGCAACGAUCAGUAGGGGUUCUGAGAGGAAGGUCCCCCACACUGGAACUGAGACACGGUCCAGACUCCUACGGGAGGCAGCAGUGAGGAAUAUUGGUCAAUGGGCGCAGGCCUGAACCAGCCAAGUCGCGUGAGGGAGGACGGUCCUACGGAUUGUAAACCUCUUUUGUCGGGGAGUAACGUGCGGGACGCGUCCCGUAUUGAGAGUACCCGAAGAAAAAGCAUCGGCUAACUCCGUG
Molecule: ribosomal RNA, 493 nt
Filed under: uncultured bacterium
Lineage: Bacteria
Description: bacterial SSU rRNA
Rfam family: Bacterial small subunit ribosomal RNA
Source: RNAcentral